GUCAGAUGACUGAGAGAAUGACAUGAGCUCAGUGGCAUGUGAGCUGUGUUCCUUUUCAUUUCUGAACACAUUGGAAUUGUCCGGUUGGAAUAUUACUGAAGAUUUAUGAUAAAAACAUCCUAAAGAUUGAUGCUAUACAUCGUUUGACAUGUUUCUAUGAACGGUUAUGACUGUAACCACCAGAGGACUUGAAAAUGAGCCGGAGCUGAGAGGAUCACCAAAACUAAAGGCUACUUACAAAACCUGGUGGAUUUAUUGUUCCACAGUGUUGUGGGAACCCCCUUACCACAUCAGGAGCAGAAGGCUGGGGCAGUGCAUGGCCAGGCACCAGUCCCACUUCAGAUGGAGGACAGAAGAGAUGGUUUGUCAUGGAGUCCCCUGACUAAAAGACAGGUUGAUACAGAUGUCUGAACUGGGAAAGAC
RNAcentral lists this long non-coding RNA (423 nucleotides) under Salmo salar (Atlantic salmon). Its description in RNAcentral is "lncRNA (ENSSSAG00000091863.1, ENSSSAG00020068861.1)". Lineage: Eukaryota; Metazoa; Chordata; Actinopteri; Salmoniformes; Salmonidae. The record is from RNAcentral.